This 422-nucleotide ribosomal RNA is filed under the name uncultured Puia sp. Its description in RNAcentral is "bacterial SSU rRNA". It matches the Rfam family "Bacterial small subunit ribosomal RNA", at positions 355 to 774 of the family's 1533-position model. The record is from RNAcentral. Lineage: Bacteria; Pseudomonadati; Bacteroidota; Chitinophagia; Chitinophagales; Chitinophagaceae.
UAAGGAAUAUUGGUCAAUGGACGCAAGUCUGAACCAGCCAUGCCGCGUGGAGGAUGAAGGCCCUCUGGGUUGUAAACUUCUUUUAUCUGGGAAGAAACCGGACUUUUCUAAGGCCGUUGACGGUACCAGAUGAAUAAGCACCGGCUAACUCCGUGCCAGCAGCCGCGGUAAUACGGAGGGUGCAAGCGUUAUCCGGAUUCACUGGGUUUAAAGGGUGCGUAGGUGGGCAGGUAAGUCAGUGGUGAAAUCUCUGAGCUUAACUCAGAAACUGCCGUUGAUACUAUCUGUCUUGAAUAUAGUGGAGGUGAGCGGAAUAUGUCAUGUAGCGGUGAAAUGCUUAGAUAUGACAUAGAACACCCAUUGCGAAGGCAGCUCGCUACACUAUCAUUGACACUGAGGCACGAAAGCGUGGGGAUCAAACA